UUAGAGUUUGAUCCUGGCUCAGGGUGAACGCUAGCGAUAGGCCUAACACAUGCAAGUCGAGGGGCAGCACAUGACGUAGCAAUACAGACGGUGGCGACCGGCGCACGGGUGAGUAACGCGUAUGCAACCUACCUUCCACAGGAGGAUAACCCGUUGAAAGACGGGCUAAUACUCCAUAACACAGGGGUCCCGCAUGGGAAUAUUUGUUAAAGAUUUUUUCGGUAGAAGAUGGGCAUGCGUUCCAUUAGUUAGUUGGUUGAGGUAACGGCUCACCAUAGCAAUGAUGUCUAGGGGUUUUGAGAGGAAGGCCCCCCACACUGGGACUGAGACACGGCCCAGACUCCUACGGGAGGCAGCAGUGAGGAAUAUUGGACAAUGGAUGGAAAUCUGAUCCAGCCAUGCCGCGUGCAGGAAGACGGCCUUAUGGGUUGUAAACUGCUUUUAUACGGGAGCAAUAAGGGUUACGAGUAAUCCGAUGAGAGUACUGUAUGAAUAAGGAUCGGCUAACUCCGUGCCAGCAGCCGCGGUAAUACGGAGGAUCCGAGCGUUAUCCGGAAUUAUUGGGUUUAAAGGGUGCGUAGGCGGCCAUUUAAGUCAGCGGUGAAAUUUUGCAGCUUAACUGUAACAGUGCCGUUGAUACUGUUUGGCUAGGAUUUGGUUGUAGUGUGCGGAAUGUGUGGUGUAGCGGUGAAAUGCUUAGAUAUCACACAGAACACCGAUUGCGAAGGCAGCACACUAAGUCAUUAUUGACGCUGAGGCACGAAAGUGUGGGGAUCAAACAGGAUUAGAUACCCUGGUAGUCCACACUGUAAACGAUGAUAACUCGCUGUCGGCGAUACACAGUCGGUGGCCAAGCGAAAGCAUUAAGUUAUCCACCUGGGGAGUGCGACCGCAAGGUUGAAACUCAAAGGAAUUGACGGGGGCCCGCACAAGCGGAGGGACAUGUGGUUUAAUUCGAUGAUACGCGAGGAACCUUACCUGGGUUUAAAUGGGGAGUGACAGGCUUGGAAACAGGCCCUUCUUCGGACACUCUUCAAGGUGCUGCAUGGUUGUCGUCAGCUCGUGCCGUGAGGUGUCGGGUUAAGUCCCGCAACGAGCGCAACCCCUAUUGUUAGUUGCCAUCAUUAAGUUGGGCACUCUAGCGAGACUGCCCGGGUUAACCGGGAGGAAGGUGGGGAGGACGUCAAAUCAUCAUGCCCCCUAUGUCUAGGGCUACACACGUGCUACAAUGGUCGGUACAAUAAGACGCAAGCCCGCGAGGGGGAGCAAAACUGGAAAACCGAUCUCAGUUCGGAUUGUAGGCUGAAACUCGCCUACAUGAAGCUGGAGUUGCUAGUAAUCGCGAAUCAGCAUGUCGCGGUGAAUAAGUAACCGGGCCUUGCACACACCGCCCGUCA
This 1397-nucleotide ribosomal RNA is filed under the name uncultured bacterium. Its description in RNAcentral is "bacterial SSU rRNA". It matches the Rfam family "Bacterial small subunit ribosomal RNA". The record is from RNAcentral.